Molecule: long non-coding RNA, 489 nt
Filed under: Mytilus galloprovincialis (Mediterranean mussel)
Lineage: Eukaryota; Metazoa; Mollusca; Bivalvia; Mytilida; Mytilidae
Source: RNAcentral
AAAGUAUAUUAAAACAAGAAUGUGUCCAAAGUACACGGAUGCCCCACUCGCACUAUCCUUUUCCAUGUUCCAUGGACUGUAAAAAUUGGGUAAUAAUCUAAUUUGGCAUUAAAAUUAGAAAGAUUAUACUAUAGGGAACAUAUGUACUAAGUUUCAAGUUGAUUGGACUUCAAUUUCAUCAAAAACUACCUUGACCAAAAAACUUUAACCUGAAACUCCCACUUUCAUUUUCUAUGUUUAGUGAAUCGUGAAAUUGGGGUCAAAAGUCUAAUUUGGCUUUCAAAUUAGAAAGAUCAUAUCAUAAGCAACAAGUGUACUAAGUUUCAAGUUGAUUGGACUUCAGCUUCAUCAAAAACUACCUUGACCAAAAACUUUAACCUGAACGGACGCACAGACGAACGAACGGACGAACGAACGAACGAACGAACGAACGGAAGCACAGACCAGAAAACAUAAUGCCCCUCUACUAUCGUAGGUGGGGCAUAAAAA